GUUUGACGUUAGCAACAGAAGAAGCACCGGCUAACUCCGUGCCAGCAGCCGCGGUAAUACGGAGGGUGCGAGCGUUAAUCGGAAUUACUGGGCGUAAAGCGCAUGCAGGUGGUUUGUUAAGCAAGAUGUGAAAGCCCGGGGCUCAACCUCGGAACAGCAUUUUGAACUGGCAGACUAGAGUACUGUAGAGGGGGGUAGAAUUUCAGGUGUAGCGGUGAAAUGCGUAGAGAUCUGAAGGAAUACCGGUGGCGAAGGCGGCCCCCUGGACAGAUACUGACACUCAGAUGCGAAAGCGUGGGGAGCAAACAGGAUUAGAUACCCUGGUAGUCCACGCCGUAAACGAUGUCUACUUGGAGGUUGUGGCCUUGAGCCGUGGCUUUCGGAGCUAACGCGUUAAGUAGACCGCCUGGGGAGUACGGUCGCAAGAUUAAAACUCAAAUGAAUUGACGGGGGCCCGCACAAGCGGUGGAGCAUGUGGUUUAAUUCGAUGCAACGCGAAGAACCUUACCUACUCUUGACAUCCAGAGAACUUUCCAGAGAUGGAUUGGUGCCUUCGGGAACUCUGAGACAGGUGCUGCAUGGCUGUCGUCAGCUCGUGUUGUGAAAUGUUGGGUUAAGUCCCGCAACGAGCGCAACCCUUAUCCUUGUUUGCCAGCAC
Molecule: ribosomal RNA, 658 nt
Filed under: Photobacterium angustum
Lineage: Bacteria; Pseudomonadati; Pseudomonadota; Gammaproteobacteria; Vibrionales; Vibrionaceae
Description: bacterial SSU rRNA
Rfam family: Bacterial small subunit ribosomal RNA
Source: RNAcentral